Molecule: non-coding RNA, 24 nt
Filed under: Arabidopsis thaliana (thale cress)
Lineage: Eukaryota; Viridiplantae; Streptophyta; Magnoliopsida; Brassicales; Brassicaceae
Source: RNAcentral
AGGAUCCCAAUAACAAAUCCUUGC